Non-coding RNA from Potamilus streckersoni, 79 nucleotides. The record is from the annotation of a GenBank genome assembly. Lineage: Eukaryota; Metazoa; Mollusca; Bivalvia; Unionida; Unionidae.
AGAUCGCUCCGAUGGCAUACAUGGUUAGAGCGUCCGUCUGAAGUGCGGGAGGUCGCGGGUUCGAACGCUGGUCGGUCUG